GUGCAAUACCACAAUAUUUUUUUAUUUAAAUUCCUAUUUAAAAAAGUAAGUGCUUACACUAUAUUAUAUCAAAAUAAAAAAAUGUGUCAUGUGAUAACGUUGCAAUUACUAAAAUUUGACUACAAUGACAGAUGACAGUUGGCGCUGAUUUUAGGUCAUAUUGUUUUAAAAAUGAAAAUCCUAAAUCUAAUUUAAAAAAUGAGUUUUCUGGGCCUAGAGGUGGAAUUUUCAAUGCAAGAAGUGUGUACAUAUAGUAAACUAAUGGAACUUCUAAGAAAAAAGCAUUUGAAGACAUCAGGUACUUCCUGGAUCCUAACUUAGAUAGGAACAGAAGAGGCAUUUGGAAUUUCUGCUAGUGAUUUAAAAUUCUUCAAAGAAUGGCGGUCAAAUAAGCAGCAACACUUCGAUUGUAUUACAAACUCCUAUUUAUUUUUUUAACAGAUUUUCAUUUUUUGACGAACGGCGGUCGAAUAAGCAGCAACGAAUUAGUUCUACUACGAACUUUUUUGAAUUUUUUAAUUUUUGGUGUAGGGCGGUCAAAUAAUCAGCAAAAAAUUGAUUCUAAUGUGCACCCUUAUGAAUUUUUUAUUGGUUUUUGCAAAUUUUACUGACACCCAGUAUAAAGUGCAUAAUGCUUAUAACUCACAAACCAGCUGA
Anthonomus grandis grandis is the source of this 657-nucleotide long non-coding RNA. RefSeq lists it as uncharacterized. The transcript is spliced from 3 exons. The record is from RefSeq and is a predicted model, not a curated record. Lineage: Eukaryota; Metazoa; Arthropoda; Insecta; Coleoptera; Curculionidae.